ACCUUGGCUCUAGACUGCUUACUGCUACGAAGCAUUAAGGAAACAGUAACAGUCUACAGUCAUGGCUA
RNAcentral lists this microRNA precursor (68 nucleotides) under Sphenodon punctatus (tuatara). RNAcentral describes it as "Spt-Mir-132-P2_pre stem-loop". It matches the Rfam family "mir-132 microRNA precursor family", at positions 11 to 84 of the family's 84-position model. The record is from RNAcentral. Lineage: Eukaryota; Metazoa; Chordata; Lepidosauria; Sphenodontia; Sphenodontidae.